This 262-nucleotide ribosomal RNA is filed under the name Escherichia coli. RNAcentral describes it as "partial 23S ribosomal RNA". It matches the Rfam family "Bacterial large subunit ribosomal RNA", at positions 2681 to 2925 of the family's 2925-position model. Lineage: Bacteria; Pseudomonadati; Pseudomonadota; Gammaproteobacteria; Enterobacterales; Enterobacteriaceae. The record is from RNAcentral.
GUACGAGAGGACCGGAGUGGACGCAUCACUGGUGUUCGGGUUGUCAUGCCAAUGGCACUGCCCGGUAGCUAAAUGCGGAAGAGAUAAGUGCUGAAAGCAUCUAAGCACGAAACUUGCCCCGAGAUGAGUUCUCCCUGACUCCUUGAGAGUCCUGAAGGAACGUUGAAGACGACGACGUUGAUAGGCCGGGUGUGUAAGCGCAGCGAUGCGUUGAGUUAACCGGUACUAAUGAACCGUGAGGCUUAACCUUACAACGCCGAAG